AUAGCCUUGGCUUAGCUGGUCAAGUUGUUGCCAUGUGACCCGAGCCAUGGGAACAACCUCUUGCAGAAAUACCGAAUAAAGCUGCGUAAGAUAGGCCCUUAUGAUCUGGCCCUUUCCCGAAUCCUUCGCAUAGCAUAAGCUUAGUGCAUCAAGCUGUUCUUUUUUACUGUGCCCAUAACCUCUCUCGCCUCUGCCAAAAAGUUUCUUAUUCCCAAAACUCAGAACAUGAUAUAUUUAUUUUAGAACGAAGAAAACCAUUGUAGCUAGCAUAAUCCUUACUAUUUUGG
This 287-nucleotide long non-coding RNA is filed under the name Nicotiana benthamiana. RNAcentral's name for it is "long non-coding RNA (NBEN_LNC027151)". Lineage: Eukaryota; Viridiplantae; Streptophyta; Magnoliopsida; Solanales; Solanaceae. The record is from RNAcentral.